Bos taurus (domestic cattle) is the source of this 651-nucleotide long non-coding RNA. NCBI's taxonomy places the organism in Eukaryota, Metazoa, Chordata, Mammalia, Artiodactyla, Bovidae. The record is from Ensembl.
AAGAGUUCAGACUUGAAGGCCUGAGCUAGUGUGCUGUGAUGAGCUACACGGACAGGUCUUGCUAGUUGCAGGACUUGGACUUACUUUGGGUGUGGCCACAGGAGUCUUGUGAGAGAAGCGAAUAUUUGCAUGGGAGCCUUGCAUUGACACUGUGUGCUUUGGAUUUCAGGGAGCAGGCUGAUGCCUCUUGGGGCAUAAUACAAAGUCUUGGAACUGUGAAUUAUCCACAAAGAAAAGAAAAGCAAAAACUCCAGCUUCCAGGUGCGGGUGAGCUGGUAGACUGUCUGCACACCUUUGCAGUGUGGAGAACAUUCCGGAAGGAAAGGAGCCAAGACAGGAGUUGAUGUUUAGUUAGGAGGCUGGAGCGGUGCUUCUGGGGACCCUAAGGUCUGAAGGAAGAUGGUGCUGGUGGUGACAGGAGGGGUCAGUAGAACCUGGAGCUGUCUCUGGACUAGAAAUGGCAGGAUGUUGAGAUGCUGGAUGAAGCAAGGAAGGAGGAUGAUGCUCAGAAUCAAGAUCAUGAAUGCUAUUUAAGCCCAUGGACUGGAUGGGAUAUCUAGGCAGCCAAGAGAAAUGGAGAAGAUAUUGGGACUGAACCUUGCUGUGCUCCACCAUUUAAUGAUUCUUCAGACUUGAGAUAUCCAGCCAAGG